CCUACGGGCGGCAGCAGUGGGGAAUAUUGCACAAUGGGCGAAAGCCUGAUGCAGCAACGCCGCGUGAGAGAUGAAGGCCUUCGGGUCGUAAAGCUCGGUCCUCAAGGAAGAGAAGGACGGUAAGUGAGGAGGAAGCCCCGGCUAACUACGGGCCAGCAGCCGCGGGAAUACGUCGGGGGCGAGCGUUAUCCGGAAUUACUGGGCGUAAAGGGUGCGGAGGGGGUUUCUGAAGUCAGAGGUGAAAGGCUACGGCUCAACCGUAGUCAGCCUUUGAACCUGGGAAACUGGAGUGCAGGAGAGGCGAGUGGUCUUCCUCUUGUCGCGGUCAACUGCGUAGAUAUUAGGA
RNAcentral lists this ribosomal RNA (346 nucleotides) under uncultured bacterium. Its description in RNAcentral is "partial 16S ribosomal RNA". It matches the Rfam family "Bacterial small subunit ribosomal RNA", at positions 338 to 702 of the family's 1533-position model. The record is from RNAcentral.